UACAGAGGGUGCGAGCGUUAAUCGGAAUUACUGGGCGUAAAGCGCACGUAGUCGGCUUUGCAAGUCGGGUGUGAAAUCCCCGGGCUCAACCUGGGAAGUGCGCUCGAAACUGCGCGGCUCGAGUGCCGGAGGGGAGAGUGGAAUUCCUGGUGUAGCGGUGAAAUGCGUAGAUAUCAGGAGGAAUACCGGUGGCGAAAGCGACUCUCUGGACGGCAACUGACGCUGAGGCACGAAAGCGUGGGGAGCAAACAGG
This 253-nucleotide ribosomal RNA is filed under the name uncultured bacterium. RNAcentral describes it as "partial 16S ribosomal RNA". It matches the Rfam family "Bacterial small subunit ribosomal RNA", at positions 524 to 776 of the family's 1533-position model. The record is from RNAcentral.